AUGGCUGUGCCUUAGGCUGUAGAGUCAGACCUAUUCCAUAUCUCUCAGACCAGCAACUGCUCAGGGCAUGGUUUUCUCAAGACAAGCGGAGAAUCUCUGAGAGAGUAAGCCAAGUCUCACAGUCAGCCUGGAGCUGCAGACUUGCUACAAGACAUGUACCAUCCAGACGCUGAGAAAACAAGGAAGGCAUCGAUAAGGGGGUGCUGAUUCCACCCCUCCAGCAGGACCCUGAGAUAACAGCAAGGAUGGGAGCAGAAACCAGACAGAGCCUUGAUGAGAUGUUGCACCUAGCUCCUUGCAUGGAGCCACCACAGCCCAUGUCCCCCUCCCUCCUGCUUUUCCUUUUCCACAGUCCAUUCCUUAAUCCUCUCUUUAAAACCCCCUCAAUAAAACUGAGUCUUUGAAAUGGU
Galeopterus variegatus (Sunda flying lemur) is the source of this 410-nucleotide long non-coding RNA. RefSeq lists it as uncharacterized. NCBI's taxonomy places the organism in Eukaryota, Metazoa, Chordata, Mammalia, Dermoptera, Cynocephalidae. The transcript is spliced from 2 exons. The record is from RefSeq and is a predicted model, not a curated record.